UAUUUUUUUUCAUACCACAUAUAUUUUGUGGUAUGUCAUUUUAAUUCUUGUUUGGGAAUUAUUUUUUUAGAGGUUCCUUAAAGGUUAUAAUAUAUUAACUUAUAACAAGCCUACUUCUGAUUAAUAUUAAGUUCAAUAAAUUAUAUUCCAGAAAACUCCAAUAAAAUAUAAAAACUUCACUCUAAUAGAGAUCUGUUUCCUCCCUUUUGCUAUUGUGGUCAUAUAUAUUAUAUUUUUAUAUGUUAUAAUGCCACACUUUAAUAAUUAUUGAUCCUUGCAGUUAUGUUUUAAAUCCAUUAAGAAAUGAAACAUGAAAACAUGGAGUCUUUCCUAUUUGUUUAUGUAGCCAGCACUGUAACCCCAGCAUUCUAGGAGGGCUACAGAUGUAGCACUGUGAGCAGGCCUUAGGUUCAAUCCCUAGUACUGAAAAGAAAUUACCUUGUUUUUUAUUUCUUGUAAAUGUGAGUGAGUCAUCAUGUACUGGUAUCUCUUUUCAAAAGGAGGAUUUCCUUUAGUGAUUCUUGCAAGGUAGGUUGGCUAACAUAUUUGCAAUCAUUAUUUGUUUCAGAAUGUCACUUUUAAAAAGUGUACAGCUUGGUAGAUUUUCUUUUUUAUAAUUUUUAUUUUGAAUAGUACAUUUUUGUGGUACAUAAUGAUUACAUACUUCAUGGAGAGCUGGUACAUGAACAUAACAUGUCCUCAUUCUUUUUAUGUCCCCUCCUCCUUCCCUCCCUCCAGAAUGUUGUUAUUUUACUUUUGUUUUUGGAGUGUAGUACUGCUAGAUAUGGAAUUCUUGUUUGACAGAUUUUUUUUCUUGCAGAAGUUUGAAUGCCAUUCUCCUGCCUGAUUUCUGAUGAUAAAUAAGCAUUGAUCAUAUAUAUUGUGGUUCCCUUAAAUAUGUUUCACCAUGUAGUUCAGGCUGGUCUUGAAUUCACUAUGGAACCCAGGCUGGUCUCAAACUUAUGACAAUCCUCUUGCCUCAGCCUCUCUAGUGCUGGGAUUACAGGGCCCAAGAAGGAGAAAGGUAGCCACUUCUGAGUGGGCUCAGGCAGCUGAGAGGCCAUAAAGGAGUUCUGUGCAAUUGUAGAUAAUGACUACUUGAACUAUAAAGACAAGGAUGUUAGAAUGGAACUUGGAUAAGUGUCUACAUGCUGUGAUGAAGAACAAUGUUCCUACACAUUAUGGUUAAAAUAUUAUCAGUGUAACAGGAAUUGGGAUUAUUUAAAAAUAUGUAGGAUUUAUUUAAUCUGUGCUUUUGAAAUAACUGUAG
Long non-coding RNA from Heterocephalus glaber (naked mole-rat), 1270 nucleotides. RefSeq lists it as uncharacterized. The record is from RefSeq and is a predicted model, not a curated record. NCBI's taxonomy places the organism in Eukaryota, Metazoa, Chordata, Mammalia, Rodentia, Bathyergidae.